GGCCUAAUAGCUCAGUGGUAGAGCGAUAGUUUCACUCACUACAGGUCCACGGUUCGAUCCCGUGUUGGGUCA
This 72-nucleotide transfer RNA is filed under the name Kwoniella heveanensis CBS 569. RNAcentral's name for it is "tRNA-Val (CAC) (tRNA-Val-CAC-1-1)". It matches the Rfam family "tRNA". Rfam says of the family: Transfer RNA (tRNA) molecules are approximately 80 nucleotides in length. Their secondary structure includes four short double-helical elements and three loops (D, anti-codon, and T loops). The record is from RNAcentral. Lineage: Eukaryota; Fungi; Basidiomycota; Tremellomycetes; Tremellales; Cryptococcaceae. RNAcentral also lists the same sequence under 1 other name.